CCAAUAGCGUAUAUUAAAGUUGUUGCAGUUAAAAAGCUCGUAGUUGAAUUUUGGGUUUGGCCAAUUGGUCCGUUCUUGUAACGAGUACUGGUUGGUUGGGCCUCACCGCCUGGUGAUGCGUAAUGUCCUUUAUUGGGUGUUGCGAGUAGUCAGGACCUUUACCUUGAAAAAAUUAGAGUGUUUAAAGCAGGCUUAUGCCGGAAUACAUUAGCAUGGAAUAAUAGAAUAGGACGAUGAUUCUAUUUUGUUGGUUUCUAGGACCAUCGUAAUGAUUAAUAGGGAUAGUUGGGGGCAUUAGUAUUCAAUUGUCAGAGGUGAAAUUCUUGGAUUUAUUGAAGACUAACUACUGCGAAAGCAUUUGCCAAGGAUGUUUUCAUUAAUCAAGAACGAAAGUUAGGGGAUCGAAGACGAUCAGAUACCGUCGUAGUCUUAACCAUAAACUAUGCCGACUAGGGAUCGGGCGAUGUUGUUUCAAUGACUCGCUCGGCACCUUAUG
Molecule: ribosomal RNA, 496 nt
Filed under: uncultured Glomeromycotina
Lineage: Eukaryota; Fungi; Glomeromycota
Description: partial small subunit ribosomal RNA
Rfam family: Eukaryotic small subunit ribosomal RNA
Source: RNAcentral